This 254-nucleotide ribosomal RNA is filed under the name uncultured bacterium. Its description in RNAcentral is "partial 16S ribosomal RNA". It matches the Rfam family "Bacterial small subunit ribosomal RNA", at positions 524 to 776 of the family's 1533-position model. The record is from RNAcentral.
GACGUAGGGCGCGAGCGUUGUCCGGAUUUAUUGGGCGUAACGAGCUCGUAGGCGGCUUGUUGCGUCGACUGUGAAAACCUGCGGCUCAACCGUGUGGUCUGCAGUCGAUACGGGCAGGCUGGAGUUCGGUAGGGGAGACUGGAAUUCCUGGUGUAGCGGUGAAGUGCGCAGAUAUCAGGAGGAACACCGGUGGCGAAGGCGGGUCUCUGGGCCGAUACUGACGCUGAGGAGCGAAAGCGUGGGGAGCGAACAGG